Molecule: long non-coding RNA, 1613 nt
Organism: Sapajus apella (tufted capuchin)
Lineage: Eukaryota; Metazoa; Chordata; Mammalia; Primates; Cebidae
Exons: 3
Source: RefSeq, a predicted model, not a curated record
GGUCUCCCCAGGACGGGUUUGCUAGAUGGGCUUUUCAGGGCUGGGUACACCCAUGCAGAUGCAUGAGUCCUGGCUGUGCUGUUAGGUAGGCAGUCCCUGGUGGUGAGGUACGCUGAGAGAGAUGGAGCCCGGUGUGGGAGUCCCCCGUGGGGAGGUGCACUGAGAGAUGGAGCCUAGUGUGGGAGUCCCCCGUGGGGAGGUGCACUGAGAGAUGGAGCCUAGUGUGGGAGUCCCCUGUGGGGAGGUACAGUGAGAGAGAUGGAGCCCAGUGUGGGAGUCCCCUGUGGGGAGGUGCACUGAGAGAGAUGGAGCCCAGUGUGGGAUUACCCCGUGGGGAGGUGCACUGAGAGAGAUGGAGCCUGGUGUGGGAAUCCCCCGUGGGGGGGUGCACUGAGAGAUGGAGCCCGGUGUGGGAGUCCCCCUGGGGAGCUACAUUGAGAAAGAUGGGCCUGGUGUGGGAGUCCCAUGGCAGACACACUGAGAGAGAGAUGGUGACCCCUGUGCAUGGACUGGAGGCUGGAAGGGCAGGAGCUCUAGCUGUUAGAUUCUACCCAGCCGUCUUAGAACAGGAUCACACAAGUUCAAUUUGACCAGACGGCAGGACAGGAAGCAGAGGACUGAUUGCUCUAGGUUCUGAGUACACAAUUAUUAUUUCACAGUAUUUUCCAAAUAAAGUAUACUUUUAUUUUGAAAGAUGCUAAUUUUGAUACUUGCAGAGUGAGAGCAACCUUGCCAUGUGAAAUGCUAAUUUCUGUCAUGAGUUAACUCCCCAUUCCAUGUUAGACUUCUCCAGGUUGGAGAUGAGAGUCACAGACCUUGAAGGGGGCCCAUGGUUUCCCUUUGCUGGUUGAAAGCUGAUGUGAAGUGAGAUUAUUGUAUAACCACUUCAUUUAAAAAAACCUGUAUGCCAGGCUUGCUUUACCCUAAAAAUAAUCUUAUGUCAGUUCUAGCACCACAUGAUACUGUUAUCAGAGACAGCUAUUACUUUUUCUAAGUAGUAGCUUAAAAAUAUCAAUGAGCUGUUUUUUUUUAAUGAAGACUUUAAAAAAUGUUUAAAUGGGAGGCUAUUUAUGAAAUAUUGAAGAUUCAGUGUCCUUUGCUGAUAGAGGUCAUUGAAGAUUGUUGGCCAUACUUUUGCUAGUCUAUUUCAAUUCAGAUUAAUUUGAAAUGUUCCUGUUUUUGAUGAAUUCAAGUGUCUGUGAUCUUUUAUGUAACGUAAUUUGUGCCAAAACCUUUAGUUUUCCCAUUAAACUAAUGUAGCUUUAGUCAGAAUACAUUGCCUCAUAGCUGAUGCCUUGUUUUAAUGUCAUUGAUAUUUCGCCUCUCUCCCUCCUCAUUCCUGAGGGUUUUUCUUGGCUUUGGGGAAAGAAAGGCAGUUAGAACAUCAGGGCAGUUCCCAGUGGGCUUUGGUCCCGUCUGCCAUCUUCUGGCCAUGGUGUGUAGGAGGUUUGAGUCAGCCACGGAGUGGAAAGUUGUGGGCAAUGGCAACAGGCAGACAAGAUCAGUGACUCCUUGAGUCCUAGGGGAGGAUAGUGAGAAUACUUAUUUUAAAGUGUCUUUUUGUUUUUAUCAAAACCGUGGUUUUUAGUUAUUAAAAAUGACAUAUGUGUUUU